ACGGAAGGCAGCAGUGGGGAAUAUUGGGCAAUGGGGGAAACCCUGACCCAGCAACGCCGCGUGAAGGAAGAAGGCCUUCGGGUUGUAAACUUCUUUUACCAGGGACGAAUUCUGACGGUACCUGGAGAAAAAGCAACGGCUAACUACGUGCCAGCAGCCGCGGUAAUACGUAGGUUGCAAGCGUUGUCCGGAUUUACUGGGUGUAAAGGGCGCGUAGGCGGAGCUGCAAGUCAGAUGUGAAAUCCCGGGGCUCAACCCCGGAACUGCAUUUGAAACUGUAGCCCUUGAGUAUCGGAGAGGCAAGCGGAAUCCCUAGUGUAGCGGUGAAAUGCGUAGAUAUUAGGAGGAACACCAGUGGCGAAGGCGGCUUGCUGGACGACAACUGACGCUGAGGCGCGAAAGCGUGGGGAGCAAACAGGAUUAGAUACCCUGGUA
Molecule: ribosomal RNA, 435 nt
Filed under: uncultured Oscillospiraceae bacterium
Lineage: Bacteria; Bacillati; Bacillota; Clostridia; Eubacteriales; Oscillospiraceae
Description: bacterial SSU rRNA
Rfam family: Bacterial small subunit ribosomal RNA
Source: RNAcentral